RNAcentral lists this transfer RNA (65 nucleotides) under Acanthodactylus schmidti. Its description in RNAcentral is "tRNA-His". It matches the Rfam family "tRNA". From Rfam's summary of the family: Transfer RNA (tRNA) molecules are approximately 80 nucleotides in length. Their secondary structure includes four short double-helical elements and three loops (D, anti-codon, and T loops). The record is from RNAcentral. Lineage: Eukaryota; Metazoa; Chordata; Lepidosauria; Squamata; Lacertidae.
GUAGACAUAGUUUAUAAAAACACUAGAUUGUGAUUCUAGAGAUAGAAUUUAUUUUCUUGUCUACC